CCCUAAAUCUGCUUGAGCUGAGGAGACAGGUUUUAUUGUGCAGGGGAAGGUGGGGGAGAGGUGUUGGCUGUCAGUGGGUCAGCAAUUAAUUGGUUCAUUCCUUUCUCACGGUUAUUUUCCAUCCAACAUCGGCUAAAGCCCCGGUGCCCACUCUGUCCCAGCUCAGCAAACAAGAACCACGGGGAUUUGCACUGGGUGACCCCAGGCCAGGAGAUUGGCUUUGCAGGGGCUGCUGGGAGGUCCCUUGUCCUGCCAAGGCUGUUAUCUCGUCUUAGGAGGAGGAUGUGAUUAGUGUUCGCUGCCGUGGGAUGUCAGCUGAGGGAUGAGAACUGCGUGCCAAGAGGAGGAGCGAGCUGCCACGGGUGUAGGGGAUCAAUCUGCGGGGAUGACAAGAGAAACAGAGUGAGUGCCCAGCUCUCCAGAGCUCAACUGCAGAGCCACAGGAUUCACCAAAGCCCUUCAAGCCAGCCCAUUCCCCUUCUCUUGACUCAGGGCUGGAAAUAGUGGCAGGAUGCUUCUGGUACCACAUUUCUCACGGAAAUCAGACGUGCGGUCAGGCGGGGUCACACUGAACCUGCCGGUGCUCGAUAAGGCAGGUUGGUGCUCCAGGAGGAGUAACUGGACACGGAGCUUGUCACAGGCGUCUCCAGCCAUAUUCCCCCUGUGCCCUUUGCUUCCUUCAGCCUUUACCCCUGCAAAGCAGGCUGGAUUGUAGGCACUGGGACUGAAUGCAUGGAGCUGGUAGUCUUGUGCUGCCCACUGCAGUGCUAGAUAUGCACAGUGUCCAUGACGGAGAAGAGAUC
Long non-coding RNA from Hirundo rustica (Barn swallow), 803 nucleotides. RefSeq lists it as uncharacterized. The transcript is spliced from 3 exons. The record is from RefSeq and is a predicted model, not a curated record. NCBI's taxonomy places the organism in Eukaryota, Metazoa, Chordata, Aves, Passeriformes, Hirundinidae.